CCUACGGGGGGCAGCAGUCGAGAAUCAUUGACAAUGGGGGAAACCCUGAUGGUGCGACGCCGCGUGGGGAAUGAAGGUCUUAGGAUUGUAAACCCCUGUCAUGUGGGAGCAAAUUAAAAAGAUAGUACCACAAGAGGAAGAGACGGCUAACUCUGUGCCAGCAGCCGCGGUACUACGGAGGUCUCAAGCGUUGUUCGGAACCACUGGGCGUAAAGCGUGCGUAGGCGGGUUCGUAAAUCGUGUGUGAAAGGCGCGGGCUCAACCCGCGGACGGCACAUGAUAAUGCGAGACUAGAGUAAUGGAGGGGUAACCGUAAUUCUCGGGGUAGCAGUGAAAUGCGUAGAUAUCGAGAGGAACACUCGUGGCGAAGGCGGGUUCCUGGACAGUAACUGACGCUGAGGCACGAAGGCCAGGGGAGCGAAAGGGAUUAGAUACCCUUGUAGUC
RNAcentral lists this ribosomal RNA (445 nucleotides) under uncultured bacterium. RNAcentral describes it as "partial 16S ribosomal RNA". It matches the Rfam family "Bacterial small subunit ribosomal RNA", at positions 338 to 795 of the family's 1533-position model. The record is from RNAcentral.